CUGACUUGAUUAUUUAUUUAUUUUUGCAAACUCAGAUCACCUCAAAAUCCAGAGUUUCACUGCUGUUAUGAAAACAGAUGUUGUUGGGAGAGAGAACAAAGAGACAGGCCCUACAAAUGUUGUGGUGAUGAUAGCUGUCAUUGGACUAUGCUUCAUGGUGCUUUUGGCUGGAAUGCUGGGCCUUUUUGCUGAUAGACAGACUGAACAGGAAGAAAGAAUUGCAGUACAGUGACAGGACACAAGCAGGAAGGAGCUCCAGACGAGGUGCUUGUCAAAU
Molecule: long non-coding RNA, 277 nt
Organism: Salvelinus fontinalis (brook trout)
Lineage: Eukaryota; Metazoa; Chordata; Actinopteri; Salmoniformes; Salmonidae
Exons: 4
Source: RefSeq, a predicted model, not a curated record